GCGUGGCACAGUGGUUGGGACGUUGGGCUAGCACCUGCGAGACCAGGGUUCGAAUCCCUGCUCAGCCA
Non-coding RNA from Podarcis lilfordi (Lilford's wall lizard), 68 nucleotides. NCBI's taxonomy places the organism in Eukaryota, Metazoa, Chordata, Lepidosauria, Squamata, Lacertidae. The record is from the annotation of a GenBank genome assembly.